GAUGAACGCUGGCGGCGUGCCUAAUACAUGCAAGUCGAGCGAACAGACGAGGAGCUUGCUCCUCUGACGUUAGCGGCGGACGGGUGAGUAGCACGUGGAUAACCUACCUAUAAGACUGGGAUAACUUCGGGAAACCGGAGCUAAUACCGGAUAAUAUAUUGAACCGCAUGGUUCAAUAGUGAAAGACGGUUUUGCUGUCACUUAUAGAUGGAUCCGCGCCGCAUUAGCUAGUUGGUAAGGUAACGGCUUACCAAGGCAACGAUGCGUAGCCGACCUGAGAGGGUGAUCGGCCACACUGGAACUGAGACACGGUCCAGACUCCUACGGGAGGCAGCAGUAGGGAAUCUUCCGCAAUGGGCGAAAGCAUGACGGAGCAACGCCGCGUGAGUGAUGAAGGUCUUCGGAUCGUAAAACUCUGUUAUUAGGGAAGAACAAAUGUGUAAGUAACUAUGCACGUCUUGACGGUACCUAAUCAGAAAGCCACGGCUAACUACGUG
Molecule: ribosomal RNA, 497 nt
Filed under: uncultured bacterium
Lineage: Bacteria
Description: partial 16S ribosomal RNA
Rfam family: Bacterial small subunit ribosomal RNA
Source: RNAcentral